RNAcentral lists this ribosomal RNA (273 nucleotides) under Triticum aestivum (bread wheat). RNAcentral describes it as "partial small subunit ribosomal RNA". Lineage: Eukaryota; Viridiplantae; Streptophyta; Magnoliopsida; Poales; Poaceae. The record is from RNAcentral.
AUGGAGAUUUUUAAGAAUGUCACUGAAUUUAAUUGUUAUCCUAAUGUCUCAGAGAAUUUCUCUGUUGUUUAUUGCAUCUUAUUAACGGUGGCAUCAGUUGAACGAUGAAGCUUUUCAAAGUUAAAAUUAUCGAGGAACUAUUUGAGGUCAAGAAUGACUAAUGAGAAUUUAAAUGGCUUGGCAUGUAUAUGCACCAAGAAGAAAUCAUUGGAAGAGAUUGACAUGAACCACAUCACAAGUGACUUUGCAUGGAAAAAUCAUACAAGUUUUUAA